This 450-nucleotide ribosomal RNA is filed under the name uncultured bacterium. RNAcentral's name for it is "partial 16S ribosomal RNA". It matches the Rfam family "Bacterial small subunit ribosomal RNA", at positions 354 to 796 of the family's 1533-position model. The record is from RNAcentral.
GUCGAGAAUAAUUCACAAUGGACGAAAGUCUGAUGGUGCAACGCCGCGUGGAGGAUGAAGGUCUUCGGAUUGUAAACUCCUGUCAUCGGGGAGUAAGACCUGGCGGUAAAUAGCCGACAGGGUUGAUAGUACCCGAAGAGGAAGGGACGGCUAACUUCGUGCCAGCAGCCGCGGUAAUACGAAGGUCCCAAGCGUUGUUCGGAAUCACUGGGCGUAAAGGGAGCGUAGGCGGCGUGGUAAGUCAGAUGUGAAAUCCCGGGGCUCAACCCCGGAACUGCAUACGAUACUGCCAUGCUUGAGGGUUGGAGAGGUAGCUGGAAUUCUCGGUGUAGCAGUGAAAUGCGUGGAUAUCGAGGGGAACACUCGUGGCGAAGGCGAGCUACUGGACAACAUCUGACGCUGAGGCUCGAAGGCCAGGGGAGCAAAAGGGAUUAGAUACCCGAGUAGUCC